GGCCACAGUAAAACUUUUCGAAUAGCCGUGCCCGCGGUCAUGGGCGGGUCUAACAAUGUCUUUCGUGAUUAGUCUCACACUUCUCACCAUAAUAAAUGAUAAUAUAAUCGGUAAUAAUUUGUUUAGCUCCUGGUUUAGAGAUAGAUCUGUGCAGCCGGGUAUGGUUGUUCAGGAUGGUUGGGCCUGUGCAGCAUGGGUGU
This 200-nucleotide unclassified non-coding RNA is filed under the name Oryza sativa (Asian cultivated rice). RNAcentral describes it as "partial microRNA MIR470e-25 precursor". The record is from RNAcentral. Lineage: Eukaryota; Viridiplantae; Streptophyta; Magnoliopsida; Poales; Poaceae.